UACGAAGGGUGCAAACGUUGCUCGGAAUCAUUGGGCGUAAAGCGCACGUAGGCGGCCUGUUAAGUCGGAUGUGAAAUCCCUCGGCUCAACCGAGGACGUGCAUACGAAACUGGCAGGCUCGAGUAUGGAAGAGGGUCGCGGAAUUCCCGGUGUAGAGGUGAAAUUCGUAGAUAUUGGGAGGAACACCAGUGGCGAAGGCGGUCCCCUGGGCCGGAACUGACGCUGAGGCGCGAAAGCGUGGGGAGCAAACAGG
This 253-nucleotide ribosomal RNA is filed under the name uncultured bacterium. RNAcentral describes it as "partial 16S ribosomal RNA". It matches the Rfam family "Bacterial small subunit ribosomal RNA", at positions 524 to 776 of the family's 1533-position model. The record is from RNAcentral.